CCAUGACCUGAGCCGAAGGUAGAGGCUUUAACCCACGGAGCCACCCAGGCGCCCCAACUUCAUGGAUUUUUGAUGAUAAAUAGUACAGAUAAGGUUCCCCUGAAAUUGCUGACCAAAUGUGAAGGUAUUAGGAAAAAAGGACAUUGAUGGAGCUUUGACCCAGGAAAUUCAACGGAAGCGCUCCAGGAGGCAGUAAGCCUACGAAGUGGGUUUACUGGGAGAGACACAAGCCCACCUGCUCAGAGCAAGGAUUUCAGUAGCAAACAAUAAGCAUUUGCUGAACCAAGUGCAUGAGAAAGAAGCACAGUGGAGGAUACAAAGAAGCGACUGUCCAACUUCAAGUGUCCUUCAACUGGUCGCACUUACUGCCUCAGCUCUUCCCUGAUUACUGUCUCGGUUCCAGUCCUGACGGACAUCCCGUAGUCUUCCCUUCCCCAUCCCUUACACAUGAGUCUUUACCGGCUCUGAGCCAUUGUUGUUUUGUGAGUCUUUGUUAACAUGUUGUUUGUCGCUGUGCAUUGUUGUUGCUUGUUUUCUGUCUACAGAGUACUCUCCCCUCCCUCUGUCUAAAUUUUGACCCUGCAGAUUAGCAGCGGCCUCGAUGUGCUCUCUUCUUCCCCGGAUGCAGAAUACAUCGUCACAACAGUCCCACUCAGGGAGCCUUGCUGUGCGGUGCUGAGCACGGGUCCAUGCACACCCUCAUUCUGUCCUCCCCAGAAAACCAGAGGAGGAGGAGGUCCAGAAAGGUCACAUAGCUCACUCCAGGCCCCACAGAACCAAGAUUAGAGUCCUGGUCCUUGUGAUUCCAGAACCUAAUCUCUUAACCGCCAUAUGUACUAAUGGACCUCUCAGAUUACAAGCACCCUGAAGGCAGACACCUUGAGAUAAGAAGCAGCUCUCCCCGGGGCCUCUCACCUUCUUCACCUCUGUGCUCCCACAGCAUCCGCGUCAACCAUGAAAUCGUUCCAUCUCCAGAAACAGAAAUUAAUGGACUUCUCUGGAAGGAGAACUGAUCCUGGUGCCUUCACCGGGGGAGCAGAGGACUGCGGUUUCACUAUAGUCUUCAGAGCCCACACUCAGCUGGAGGGGGAAGCGUCUGAACUUAAAGAAGUUCAGAGCUGAGGACACAUCGUUGGUGCCAUCAGCACAAGGAGGGGCCGGGAUUCCCAGUGGAAGACGCACAGAGGGAACAGAGCGCAAGCCGGAGGACGGAGCAAAAAGGAACACAGAGGAACACAAUCAAGGAGACUGUGUCAGAGAGCUAAGAAGGAACAUGUAUCACCGAGUCAGUCAGAGGGUUGCUGCAAGACAGAGUGGCUCAGAGUAAACCACUGACGAGUCCUACUCUUCAUCCCUCUGAUGUUCUGUUCAUUCAACAAAUUAUUCAUUGAGUAUUACUGGAGCCAAGCACUGGUCCUGCAGGGAGAGGGAGGGCAAUGAACACCCAGCUAAAUCCUGGCUCCCCAUGUGCUAAGGGUCUUGGAGAAUGCUUGAGUAAGACAUUUCAUUUCCUUGUGGGGUGAUAUGAAAGGAUGUCCUCUGUCCGGAUCACCUGGAGCUGGGCUGCGGAUGCUGAGCAAACACACGGCAAUCCGCACUGCAGUCCCAUACUUAAGUAAGAUACAAGGAGAAUAACAGACAGGAGAGAAACUGGCAAGUCAAAUUCAGUUUUGUUCCACCAGACAGAAGAGAUAUGACCAUGCUUGGAGGCAGGGAGAUGUCUUAGCCAAAUGCAAUGAUAUUUAAGGAUCACAUUAUUUAGAAACUUAAACUUCCAUAAUCUUCAGAAAUGGAAUCUGAUUGCCACUGCUUCUCAAGCAAGAUACCUGUCCCUCUGAGAAGUAGUUCUAGAAGCCCUUGUCAUCACAGCUGGGCCAGGCCAGGCAGACUCUGCCCAGGCCGGGAGACAGGAAGGAGAGGAUGCCUCGAAGGCAUUCAUAAAUGAGCCCUUAUUGUUGGCAGUGGGCCACAGAUAGAAAAUGGUCCUAAAAUGCACAUCACAUUAUUCCAGAGAAUCCCCUGGAAGGCAUUCCAUCAGACAUUCCAACUCUGGGGGCAGAAGAAGAGGACCUCACCUGGCAGAUCUCUCAAGUUCAGACCUCACUGGUCCUGGGACUCUCCAGCGAAAUACCAUUCAGAAAGUCUGGUGCAGGUUCCCCCAGGCCUGCCUGGUUCUGACCAGAACUCUGAAGUAGAGCAGCACAAGCCUUGGAGUUUCCAAAACCCCUCUUAGGUUCUCAAAGCACAGACGAGGGCACCCGGCCACAAGCGAUGGCAAAAGACCUCUUUGGUUGUUCUCUGCUGGAACGUUCCAGCCAGUGCUGGGCCAGAAAGCCAGCCACCCAGCCCCAGCCUCCACUGGGUACAAGAAAAGCUCCAAGCCCUACUCUGCUCCCAAGAGCUCCAGACCUAGAAUGAGAAAAACAUUCAAGGGUCAUGUUGGGGAACACAGGGCCUCCUCAGGGGUGGUGGGGAAGGCUCACUACUACUCCGGUGGGAAGGGGAAGAAGGACUCAUAUUUCCCUGGAGGCUGCACCCUGCCCUGGGGAGAGCAGCUCCCCAGAAAUGACACUUGAGGACCUGGCUUGGGGCCACAAGAGCAGACAGCUUGGGGUUUAUUUCCCCUUUAUAAUGGAGGCAGGCGAGGAAAGGAAUUCUUUGACUAAGUAACAUAAUACUUCUGGGUCCAGCCCACCAGGCUGGGCCCUGGGAAGAGCAAACAAGCCGCCCGCCCUGUCCCAACAGGUUUGUGGACACUGGCCGCAGCUGCCACUCACUGUGCUCAGGCGUGGAUGCUGGGGGAAGGGGAGGGACGCUGAUGCCCAGGACAGCAAGGAUGUUGGGAAAGAUCUCUAAUCCAGUCUCAACCCUGCCAAGGCCCGAGUCCAACACUUUGUGCCCCUGAGCCAUCAGAUUUAACUCUGUACCCCAGCCCCUGCCUCAUGCCGCCUUGGUUCCCACUUCCCCACCUGCCCAAGCCCCUGAACCCAGAUGAAAGUCCAGGCUUCGUCCCCAUAAGCUGAGGGACAUCCUAGAUGCCACCUGCCCAGGCUGGAGGUCUCCCCGCUUGAUGCAUACGUGCUCCGCGUGUCACAAGGGCAAGCACUCGUGAUCUGGUGGGUCAACCACACAAGUAACACGUCAGUAACAAUCAGCAUCUGUGCAGUAUUCUGCAGUUCGCAAAGCUUCAACCUCCAAACAACUCUUCUCAGUUAGGCAUUACCAUCUACCCAUUUUACAGAUAGGAAAGCAGGAGGCUCAGAGAGGUAUUCCACAGAGUGGCAAAGCCAGGCCCUGAACCCAAACUGUUUAACUCCACAUCUUCUGCUGUAAACCCCAGGGCGGGACCACGGGUACUGGCGAUCUGCAGAAUGGGUUCUAUCCAACCCCCUGCUUUGCAGCCCCCAGCUCUUCGAACCUGACUGCUGCAUGACAGAGACACCGUCACCCGACUGCCCAACCCCUGCCCUGCUGGGCAGCCGGCCCAGGACGCAGAGAGUCCCCAGGGCCACCCUGCCCCUGGCAGGUGCC
Molecule: long non-coding RNA, 3531 nt
Organism: Mustela erminea (ermine)
Lineage: Eukaryota; Metazoa; Chordata; Mammalia; Carnivora; Mustelidae
Exons: 3
Source: RefSeq, a predicted model, not a curated record